AGAACGAACGCUGGCGGCAUGCCUAACACAUGCAAGUCGAACGAGGCCUUCGGGUCUAGUGGCGCACGGGUGCGUAACGCGUGGGAAUCUGCCCUUGGGUUCGGAAUAACAGUUAGAAAUGACUGCUAAUACCGGAUGAUGUCUUCGGACCAAAGAUUUAUCGCCCAGGGAUGAGCCCGCGUAGGAUUAGCUUGUUGGUGAGGUAAAAGCUCACCAAGGCGACGAUCCUUAGCUGGUCUGAGAGGAUGAUCAGCCACACUGGGACUGAGACACGGCCCAGACUCCUACGGGAGGCAGCAGUGGGGAAUA
Molecule: ribosomal RNA, 309 nt
Filed under: uncultured soil bacterium
Lineage: Bacteria
Description: bacterial SSU rRNA
Rfam family: Bacterial small subunit ribosomal RNA
Source: RNAcentral